This is a non-coding RNA of Podarcis lilfordi (Lilford's wall lizard), 75 nucleotides long. NCBI's taxonomy places the organism in Eukaryota, Metazoa, Chordata, Lepidosauria, Squamata, Lacertidae. The record is from the annotation of a GenBank genome assembly.
GCCAAAGAAUAGCUCAGUUGGUAGAGCAUGAGACUCUUAAUCUCAGGGUCAUGAGUCUGAGCCCUAUGUUGGGUA